This 381-nucleotide long non-coding RNA is filed under the name Rattus norvegicus (Norway rat). RNAcentral's name for it is "long non-coding RNA NONRATT007576". Lineage: Eukaryota; Metazoa; Chordata; Mammalia; Rodentia; Muridae. The record is from RNAcentral.
UCUGAUUUGUUUCAGAUGUGAGCGUGUGAUCUCAAAGCUCCGGUUUCAAAGCCGAGUGCAUCAGCCCUUGGCCUUUUGGACCUCGGGCUCCAUACCAAGUGGCCUUUCCCAUGGACAGGUCCCCAUCUCACAUCCCUGCACCAGUGCCAGCUUCCCAGGGGCUUUUAUCUUCCUGACAGAAGGGCACCACAAUCCACGAUUCCAGAGAGAGGGGUGUGAGAGAGAGAACAAACUUCUGGUAUGGAUGGAUUCAUACUGAGUCUAUCCAUCCACAGUGUAGAAUCUGCAGCUGCUACCUCAGUCUCCGAGAGCUCCUCUGUCCUCUGCCUGCAGGGCAAGCUGGUAUUGAAUGGAGAGACGUCACUGAUUCAGGCUCAGUUU